UAUAAUAAAAACAAAUUAUUACACAUUACAUUUAAUUUUGAUUACACAUCGAGUCUUCUGUAGCUUAUACGUAAGUUAAUACAAAGUACAUGCGAAGUACAUGCGAUAAAGGUUCGUGAAGUAUUAUAGAUGAUUACAUUUGUACUCCUAACUCUGCAUCCCCAUACAAUUUAAACUUAAUAAUAGUAAUUAAGAACUCAGGGACAGAAUAACAUCUCUUCUAUCGUCAUCGAUGCCUUUUGUCGACAUGAAAAUGAAGUUUACGUUGCAAUUAUAUCGCAACCUUAUCAUUCGACGGAAUUGAGGAAAAUUAAUUCCAACAUAUUGUAGCGUUCCCAGGAAAUAAGACAUACAUUUUCACGAAAGCGUUUAUUCUAAAACUGUCGUGAGUCUAAUUAUAAAACGUAGUGCAUGCGACAAUUAUACAACUAUAUAACUGCUCGCGGUUACAUUUGUCGAAAUUAUCAGAUCUAAUUAUUAGAUUCGACAGUAUAUAUCUGUGGACUCUUGAAAAAUCUUCUGAACAAAUAAAAAAAAUCACACAUAAUAAUAAAAUAAAAUUUAAAUUCUUCUUGAUAUAAUUAUGAUCUUUAAUAGAUCUCAACAAUCUCUAACUGAAAGAUGAUUGGCAGAAAUUAAGAGGAUUAUAUGUUAAUAAUAGCAAAGUAGAGAUCAGAGUUUAAACGAUGACUCAAGUAUCAAGUUAAAAAAAGCUACAGUUAUUAAAAACCAGAUGUUCACGGAGGUCACUUGGAAUCAUCAGGUGCACAUAUAUCAAGGAACGGGUUCAUCGCAAUAACGAUAUCUAUGCUGUAAAUAUGCCUGGAGAUCUAUUCUUUGUAAAGAGAUCAAUGUGAACAUUCAUCGCGUUUACGAACUAGACUGAAAAGCGAAUUAAGAAAAAAGUGAAACAGAAAUUUUGAUUAUGCAGUGCCAGUGCCAGUAUUUAAUAAUCAUUAAUUCAAAUUAAAGCUAUAAGAAUCUAAAUAACAUCUUUUAAACUUUACACGAUUUUCUAGAUUUUCACGAAACUUGCUAUUCAUAGUUACCUUACAAUGACAUGUAUCCGGUUACAAAGAAUUUUUCGCAUAAAUAAUUGAAUUUCGUUUAUGUUUGUGCUAAAUUGUAUUUGAUCCAUUUAUACAUUAUGUCAGUACAUUUCUUCAAUUGAUAAGAAUAAUCGUCAAGUAAUCAGAAUGAUGAUAGUGACCUGUAAUAUACAGUUUGAAUAUUUAUGUAUGUAGACUCAUUACUCUUUUACGAUUAUGUGUGUGCAUACGCAUGUGUUUGUGUGUGUGGUACAUAUAUCUCAAUCUCCUUGCAGGCUUAUAAAUAUUGAGAACAAAACAAAAUGAAAUUUGGUUGAAAGUACUAAAAACUUAGACGAUUCUAUCAUACAUUACUGUGCUAUCGCACAAACAAGAAGAAAUAAUAAAAAUGGAGCUUCAGGAAAAAUCACCUUUCACUCAGAAAAAUCCUAUUUACGAUAGUAUCCCUCUUAUUAUUAUUGAUAAGAUGGGAAAAGAAUGUUUCAAAGAUAAAACGGAAAAUAUAAAAUAUUAUGUUUCUAAUCCAUUUUGGAUGAAAUUUCGAUUAUUAUUAUUUUGGACAUUGUGGGCCAUAUUAAUAAUGGCGAUGAUAAUUUCUUUUUUCAUUUACUUUUGUUUUACGCCUCGAAUAUGCCUCAGUUCAAGUAUCCAUAGAAAUAUGCACAAAUAAUAAAUGCAUUCUUUCAUAAAGUGCAAUGGAACGGCGUAUUAUAAUAACUUGAAUUAUUAUAUAUUUGUAUCAUAUAUUCAUAUUUCAAAUAACAAUAUUGUCAAAAUUAUUAAUAAUGUAACGAGCAACAAGACAAUAAUGUAUUUAAAAUAAGUAUUAUUUUUAAAAAAUUAAUUGUUUAUUCUCAUUAUGCAUAUAUUGUUAUAAAUAUUAUAUAUAAAUAUAUAAAUAUUAUAGAUAUUAACAA
Long non-coding RNA from Pogonomyrmex barbatus (red harvester ant), 1966 nucleotides. NCBI's taxonomy places the organism in Eukaryota, Metazoa, Arthropoda, Insecta, Hymenoptera, Formicidae. The record is from RefSeq and is a predicted model, not a curated record.